CGCAAACGUAUUACAAAGAAUAUAGAUAGAUGUCUUGCAAUAUUACAUCCAAGAUUUGACAAGUAAAAGAACUGCCUUCAUACCAAGAUCUAGAGGAACACGUACGUUUGCAUACAAGGAUGUGCCUUUUUAAUCCCAUCAUAUACCUACUGUAACAGCGAUGGAUCCUCCAACCAGCUGAUGGCAGGAAAAGAAAAGACGGAAUCCUCCCCAUGGAUCGAGAACCAAGCAGGAUAUCGACUUCUCCACCGAGAUAAGCAAAGCAUAUGCUCGGGGCCACAUCCGCUGGCUAUCCUUUUUUAUCGCCUUUAGGGCUGACCAAAGGUUUAUCGAUCAAUCGCCCGGAACUCCACCGAUGAAUACAGACUGCGCCGAUGAUGGGUGGGUGCGCCAUGACUCACGCGAUCGCGAGGCUUGCUUUGACAGGUUAUUGUAGUCGCCGGGAUAAGCAGACCGGCCGGCCGGCCGGCCCCAGCCAGGAUCGCCUCCACGAACGACUUGCUGCGAUCGGCAUCGAAACGCACGCACAGUUGAAAGUGGUGCUCGAUCUUCGAUCUUUUUAUGGUUGGUCGUUGGGCAAAUCAUGGUAGACCAACCCCCAGGUCGACAGUGAGAAGAGAUCAAAGCUAGAUAUUUU
This 637-nucleotide long non-coding RNA is filed under the name Hordeum vulgare. RNAcentral describes it as "long non-coding RNA (HVUL_LNC020044)". The record is from RNAcentral. Lineage: Eukaryota; Viridiplantae; Streptophyta; Magnoliopsida; Poales; Poaceae.